GGUUGGCAGUGGAAGUGUAGGUGUUUUGUUGGAGGUGUCUGUAUAUCUGAGGUAUUUUAAAGUGCCAGAACUUCAUGGAUCAACAAAAGGAUGUUGGCUGGACAAAUAACCAAGUGACUGCUGCUUCAGGCAAGAAAUGCUGGCUCAGAAGUGUGCCUACUCCAUCCAGAGAGAACAGAGCUCAUGUACCUACUGAAUUCAUGCUCUUAAUUCUAGAGGCUUUUGGUACGUGGUGGUUUGCUGGAAGUCAGAUUUCCUUAGCUCUCUGAAGGGACUCAUGGGGUCUAAUGUUUUUCUUGGUGUACAUCUGGAUCGGAAGAAAUAAUGUCUGCUCUUGCCUGGAUGCUCCUCUCUCUGAUGUGAAUUGGUGUUUGGGGAUACUGCUGCUGCCAUUCCAGAAGAGUGGCGAUUUCAAUACCUGACUGCAAGAGAAGGGUUAUGAAGGCUCGUCAUAACACAACAUCAUCAUGACAAUAACCCUGGUCUCAGCUGAAGUUUGGAUGUAGAAGGAAUUCAAUGUGGAACUUCAGUAGCUGCUCUCUGUAAGCAUUUCCCAAGCACUUGGAGUCCUGUGAAUUUUUCCUGGUGACACAAGAGAACUGUGUUUGUUAGGGUCUUAGAUGCCUGCCUUAGGGUGAGAUGAAGUGCCUCUGAAGAUGCAUGUUUCUUUCCAAUGAGAUAAAGGAACCCCGGCUUCAGAACAAGACAUCUGAAUUUAAAAUGCUAAAACAUGAAUCCCAACUGAGAUCCCUGGGAAGUCAGUCUGGCAAGGUUCAAGUGAUUUUUACUGUAAUUGUCUAGUCACAGAGAACUGGAUAGCAUUACAUUGUCUAUUCCUUUUUUUUUUUCUUUUUCAUGUUUCCGAAGUGACUUUAUAACCUCUUCUUGUUGAAGCUAAGCUAGGACAAUAACCACACACAGCUUAUAUAUACAUUUAAAGUAACACUUGAGAGUAAGCAAGGGACUACUGACAUAUUUACUGUUAAGCACAUGGCUAAAUUUCUGAAAAGAUGAAACUUGAGGGGAUUAGCUUAUAUGCUUAGGCAGUAAACUGAUUUCUUAAUGUAUGGAGUAUGCUUGGGAUUCUGGACAUGCCUAACAAUGCAGAGAGUGAACAAAAAAUAGACUUCUUCAAAGACACAGCAUCUAGAGAGAGCCAAAGGCAGAUGUCACUUCAUCAACUCCUUGAAGCCCCUUAUGGAAGAAGUGCGGUUUUGAGAACACAAGUAUUGUUAGAUAGCAUUCAGAAUAGUUGCAGGAAGACUGGCAAGGAAUAAAGACCAGGCAUUCAGUUUGAUGGCUUUAUAUUUGUACUUUGUAAAAAUGUAUUUUGAAAAGCAAGGAGUUUGGUUAUUAGGAUCUAACUUAAUAAUGUUUGUAACAAUCUCAUCUAGAAUUGUCCACUAUCAAGAUUUUAGUGAUUUGUUGUAGCCAACAAUGACCUUGCUUGCACUCUGUGCUUGUAAUAAUCUUCUAAUUACUAGAGCUCAAAAUCUCUGGGAGUAGUUUUAGAAAUGUCCUGGUCUACUGUCUAGAAGAAUCACUCCAUUUUGCAUAACUGAACACGAACGACCAGAGGAGUGGGGUUAGGAUGCAUGUUCUGGAGGCAUCUCUAGGUGCUAGAGGGUCACUGCUGUUCAGGUGGUCGUCAUCCUCGGAAGACGCUGUGUGUGGAAUCCCUUUCUGGUGUGGUGAUAUGAAGGUUCACUUUCUGUCCUCAUGUCCAGGGUCUGGAUACUUUUUCCUGGCACACAGAGCUGAGUGAAGCUAAGGCUUGCUCCUAUCCUGCAGCUACACAAGGGCAAGGGCUGAGGUACCAGCUGGAGCAUGUGACCUGAGCACAAUCUCCCAUGCUCUGAGAGGUGCUGGGCCAGGUCUUGACUCCCAAAAUAAGCAAGCAAAGCUAAUAAAGUGGAUAUGUAGCAAAAUCAGUGUGAAGCAGACUGUGUCAUUGCCUUCUCUCUGAAUAAUGCCAGCAGACAGAAGGAACUAAACCUGCACAUCUGAGUGGGGAGAACUUCUCAUUACCAAAAGCACUGAGAGGUGCAGGAAUAAAGCCCUAAUGAUGCCACUGAUAGCUUUUUUUGCAAGAGAAGUAGAUCAGUCUGUGUUAGAGAAGACUGAUAUAAAUCCCCACAAGAAUUUGAGUGAAAAACAAUGAUGCCAUUUUAGAUUUUUGCCCCAUUUUAUACCUGUGUCAUGGUCCUGGGCAUAAACAUCUUGUUCGUUUGGUACAGGUCACACAGCUCAAUGAAUAAAGGUAGCACAGCAUCUUUUUCCUCUUCGCCAUCCAUUUGUACUCUCCCUGGCAUCAGCUGCAGCACACAUUGCUGUGUGCAUAUAAUCACAUACCGGGGGGGUCAUUGAGUCCCUCCAUGUCUGACACAACUACAAGGCUGAGUUCUCCAGUACACGUGGAUAAAACCAUGCUAAAAUACAGACCAUGAGAUUCAGUAUAAAGUGAUUUCAGAUGUCUCCCAGCACUGCGCUGGUGUAUAAACAGCUGCAAUUGGAAAUUCUAAGCUACAGAAAAUGGGAGAUGGUAACCUCUUGUGCACAGGAUUUAAAACUAUAGGAUCAUUGACCUCAAAUGGUUUACGUAGCCUGGGAAAUCGAGAGUUAAGCAGCUUGCAAAGCUACAAAAGCCAGCCACUAGUCUGGAGAAUAGGAGCCUUCUUCUAGUUUUCCUGCUGAUAUUCAAUGUUGUUUCAAUCAAAGUACAGGUAGCACUUGAAGAAUGACAGAUCUUGUGAGCUUUAUAUACCAGAAUAAUGAGAUUAUGCUUCAUGACCCUGCUGCAUUUGACUUUUACAUUAGAGAAUAUGAUUCAGGAAUUCAU
This is a long non-coding RNA of Lagopus leucura (white-tailed ptarmigan), 2839 nucleotides long. RefSeq lists it as uncharacterized. The transcript is spliced from 4 exons. The record is from RefSeq and is a predicted model, not a curated record. NCBI's taxonomy places the organism in Eukaryota, Metazoa, Chordata, Aves, Galliformes, Phasianidae.